RNAcentral lists this ribosomal RNA (1533 nucleotides) under Candidatus Neptunichlamydia sp. RNAcentral describes it as "bacterial SSU rRNA". It matches the Rfam family "Bacterial small subunit ribosomal RNA". Lineage: Bacteria; Pseudomonadati; Chlamydiota; Chlamydiia; Parachlamydiales; Simkaniaceae. The record is from RNAcentral.
UAUACGGAGAGUUUGAUUCUGGCUCAGAAUGAACGCUGGCGGCGUGGAUAAGACAUGCAAGUCGAACGGAGAAUAACAUUAGUUUACUAAAGUUAUUCUUAGUGGCGGACGGGUUAGUAACACGUGAGCAACUUACCUCAGAGUGGGGGAUAGCCUUCCGAAAGGGAGAUUAAUACCGCAUACGGUCUACGGACUAAAGCUAGCUUCGGCUGGUGCUUUGAGAUAGGCUCGCGUCCUAUCAGUUAGUUGGUGAGGUAAUGGCUCACCAAGACUACGACGGGUAGCUGUUCUGAGAGGAAGAUCAGCAACACUGGAACUGAGACACGGUCCAGACACCUACGGGUGGCAGCAGUCGAGAAUCAUUCACAAUGGACGCAAGUCUGAUGGUGCAACGCCGCGUGGAGGAUGAAGGCCCUAGGGUCGUAAACUCCUGUCAUAGCAGAGUAAGGCAUAUUAGUUAAUAGCUAGUAUGUUUGAUAGUAUGCUAAGAGGAAGGGACGGCUAACUUCGUGCCAGCAGCCGCGGUAAUACGAAGGUCCCGAGCGUUAUUCGGAAUCACUGGGCGUAAAGGGAGCGUAGGCUGCGCGGUAAGUCAGAUGUGAAAUCUGGAGGCUCAACCUCCAAACUGCAUUCGAUACUGCCGUGCUAGAGUAAUGGAGAGGUAACUGGAAUUCUCGGUGUAGCAGUGAAAUGCGUAGAUAUCGAGAGGAAGACCAAUGGCGAAAGCAGGUUACUGGACAUUUACUGACGCUGAGGCUCGAAGGCUAGGGUAGCGAAAGGGAUUAGAUACCCCUGUAGUCCUAGCAGUAAACGAUGUGCGCUUGGUGUGGGAGGGUUCGACCCCUUCUGUGCCGGAGCUAACGCGUUAAGCGCACCGCCUGGGGAGUACGGUCGCAAGACUAAAACUCAAAGAAAUUGACGGGGACCCGCACAAGCGGUGGAGUAUGUGGCUUAAUUCGAUGCAACGCGAAGAACCUUACCUAGGCUUGACAUGUAUCGCUAAGCUCCCGAAAAGGAGUGAGCCUUCGGGCACUUUACACAGGUGCUGCAUGGCCGUCGUCAGCUCGUGUCGUGAGAUGUUCGGUUAAGUCCGGCAACGAGCGCAACCCCUGUGAAUAGUUACCAGCACGUAAUGGUGGGGACUCUAUUCAGACUGCCCAGAUCAACUGGGAGGAAGGUGGGGAUGACGUCAGGUCAGUAUGGCCCUUACGCCUAGGGCUGCACACGUACUACAAUGCUCAGUACAAUGAGAACCGAUACCGCGAGGUGGAGGAAAUCUACAAAACUGGGCUCAGUUCGGAUUGGAGGCUGCAACUCGCCUCCAUGAAGUCGGAAUCGCUAGUAAUGGCACAUCAGCUACGGUGCCGUGAAUACGUUCCCGGGUCUUGUACACACCGCCCGUCACAUCAUGGAAGCCGAUCGCACCCGAAGUGCCUGCGUCAACAAUGGCAGGGUCCUAAGGUGUAGUUGGUAACUGGGAUGAAGUCGUAACAAGGUAGCCGUAGGGGAACCUGCGGCUGGAUCACCUCCUUU